RNAcentral lists this ribosomal RNA (562 nucleotides) under uncultured beta proteobacterium. RNAcentral's name for it is "bacterial SSU rRNA". It matches the Rfam family "Bacterial small subunit ribosomal RNA", at positions 502 to 1061 of the family's 1533-position model. Lineage: Bacteria; Pseudomonadati; Pseudomonadota; Betaproteobacteria. The record is from RNAcentral.
UACGUGCCAGCAGCCGCGGUAAUACGUAGGGUGCGAGCGUUAAUCGGAAAUUACUGGGCGUAAAGCGUGCGCAGGCGGUUCGCUGUGUCCGAUGUGAAAGCCCCGGGCUUAACCUGGGAAUGGCAUUGGAAACUGGCGGGCUUGAGUGUGGCAGAGGGGGGUGGAAUUCCGCGUGUAGCAGUGAAAUGCGUAGAGAUGCGGAGGAACACCGAUGGCGAAGGCAGCCCCCUGGGCUAACACUGACGCUCAGGCACGAAAGCGUGGGGAGCAAACAGGAUUAGAUACCCUGGUAGUCCACGCCCUAAACGAUGUCGACUGGGUGUUCGGGAAGCGAUUUCUGAGUACCGUAGCUAACGCGUGAAGUCGACCGCCUGGGGAGUACGGCCGCAAGGUUAAAACUCAAAGGAAUUGACGGGGACCCGCACAAGCGGUGGAUGAUGUGGAUUAAUUCGAUGCAACGCGAACAACCUUACCUACCCUUGACAUGUCUGGAAGCCUGCUGAGAGGCGGGUGUGCCCGAAAGGGAACCGGAACACAGGUGCCGCAUGGCUGUCGUCAGCUC